Long non-coding RNA from Hemicordylus capensis (graceful crag lizard), 1819 nucleotides. RefSeq lists it as uncharacterized. NCBI's taxonomy places the organism in Eukaryota, Metazoa, Chordata, Lepidosauria, Squamata, Cordylidae. The record is from RefSeq and is a predicted model, not a curated record. The transcript has 3 exons.
UCCAUUCAGGCUGCACAUUGGAAGAAAAUAUUAAGGAAUUUGAGAGAGGUCUUCAUCAGAGAUGCUCUCUCAAGAACUAUCUAAACCCACAAAAUUCUCUUAUGAAAUAGUUGCCAAGGUCAUGCUCGCCCAACAAAAUGAAUGGAAAAGCACAAUCCAAAUAUAUAACUAAAUAUCCGAGUGUACUGGAGCUGGUGAUAGUGACUGAAUACACAGUAUUAAUCUCAUCUAAUUCCUGGAGCCUAACAAGCUGGCACCAACCACACUGUUCUCCUGCCUACCCACCCAGAGGACUGGAGCUGGAUCACUGCAGAAGAUGCUGGCCUCCCUGUUUGAGUGUGGGAUGUCCCAGAGGCAAAAGGUCAUGUCUUCUCUGUUGAUACACCUGACUGCCGGAGGGGGAUAACCAUAAAGGAUGAGUAGGCUCAUAACAUAAAGUUUCUCUGCAAAGUAUUUGUUAUUAGCCACUGUUCAAGACCAGAUGCUUAGCCAUGUGGGCUCUUUGCGUAAGCCAGCAUGGCCCAAUUCAGACAUCUCAUCAAACCUCUGAUAAACAUAACUGAGGCAAGUGUUUCUGGUUGUCUGAAUGCAUGAACUUGUAGUUCUCUCACCCAGUGUGCCUCUGUUUUUGCCUCCAAACCUGAAUUUGAGCCCUCAGUUUGUAGUGAGAAAGCUCCUCCUGCUACCACAAAGAGGUCAGCUCAGAGCAACCCAGAAAUGCAUCCGUUCUAAAGCAGCUGUGUCACUGGCUGUCUCUCAGAGCGAAAGAAAGCUCUGCUUCUGCCAUCACCUCACAACUCCUGAUGCUGCUUGGCAACUGCAUCCCUAGAAUUACUACAUUUAAAGGGACAGAGCCAUAUUGAUUGAUUGAUUGUUAAAUUUAUAUACCACCUUUCAUCAAAACAAUCCCAAGGCAGUUUACACAGAAUUAAAAACAAGAUUAUAAAAAUAAGGGGGGACAUUAUUUGCAUUAUGGGGGCAUUAUGAAUCUCAGGAAGCAAGGUGUUCCAUAAGGAAGGGGAUACAACAGAGAAGGCCCUCUCACAAGCCAGGGCCCUACAUACCUCACCUGGUCCCAGAAUUCUGAGAAGGCCCACCUGAGACGAGCCCACAGUGCGGGUCGAAGUUGGAUGGGAGAAGCAGUCCUGAAGGUACAUAGGCGCCAAACCCUGAAGGGUUUUAUAUGUGAUAACCAGCUCUUUGAAUUGGACCCGGAAGCAAACUGGCAGCCAAUGUAGCAACCUCAACAUGAUCAUAUUUUCUGCUGCUCAUAAGCAGUCGGGCUGCGGCAUUUUGGGCCAGCUGAAGUUUCCGAGUCAUCUUCAAAGGCAACCUCAGGUAGAACGCAUUGCAACAGUCCAACCGAGAGGUGACAAGGGCAUGAGUUACCAUUGCCAGGGCCUGCUGGUUGAGGUAAGGCUGCAAUUGGCACACCAGACAAAGCUGGGCAAAGGCUCUCCUGACCACAGCUUCCACCUGCUGCUCCAGCAAUCUUAUUUGGAGAUUUCUGCAAAUGCCAUUUAGAAAUCGUGUAGAAUUUUGAAGAACAAAAACUCAAAUUGUAGCUUUACACAACUCUAAUGUGUAGAGAAAGAACCAUUGAUUGUUUCGGAACAUUUCAAAAGGCCUGAACAAGCUCCAUGCGUCUUUUCUCUCACAGAGUAGUCUGGGACAACUGUAGUCAUAUUAUGUGCUGUGUUAACAGAAUACAAAUGAUCUCCUAGCCAUAUUUGAAUAAAGGCAUAAUCACUGUUCUUCGAGGUGUCAGGAUUGCUGUGUAAGCAACUUAUUUAACAGUGCAUUGCUGUGCAAGCUUACU